GUUUGAUCCUGGCUCAGGACGAACGCUGGCGGCGUGCUUAACACAUGCAAGUCGGACGGUGAUGACAGGGCUUGCCUUGUCGGAUCAGUGGCGAACGGGUGAGUAACACGUGAGUAACCUGCCCCAGACUCUGGGAUAACUCCGGGAAACCGGAGCUAAUACCGGAUAUGACCCUUGGACGCAUGUUCUGGGGGUGGAAAGAUUUAUUGGUUUGGGAUGGGCUCGCGGCCUAUCAGCUUGUUGGUGAGGUAGUGGCUCACCAAGGCGACGACGGGUAGCCGGCCUGAGAGGGCGACCGGCCACACUGGGACUGAGACACGGCCCAGACUCCUACGGGAGGCAGCAGUGGGGAAUAUUGCACAAUGGGCGCAAGCCUGAUGCAGCGACGCCGCGUGAGGGAUGACGGCCUUCGGGUUGUAAACCUCUUUCAGCAGGGAAGAAGCUUUCGGGUGACGGUACCUGCAGAAGAAGCACCGGCUAACUACGUGCCAGCAGCCGCGGUAAUACGUAGGGUGCGAGCGUUGUCCGGAAUUAUUGGGCGUAAAGAGCUUGUAGGCGGUUUGUCGCGUCUGCUGUGAAAAUCCGGGGCUCAACCCCGGACUUGCAGUGGGUACGGGCAGACUGGAGUGUGGUAGGGGAGACUGGAAUUCCUGGUGUAGCGGUGGAAUGCGCAGAUAUCAGGAGGAACACCGAUGGCGAAGGCAGGUCUCUGGGCCACUACUGACGCUGAGAAGCGAAAGCAUGGGGAGCGAACAGGAUUAGAUACCCUGGUAGUCCAUGCCGUAAACGUUGGGCGCUAGGUGUGGGGCUCAUUCCACGAGUUCCGUGCCGCAGCUAACGCAUUAAGCGCCCCGCCUGGGGAGUACGGCCGCAAGGCUAAAACUCAAAGGAAUUGACGG
Molecule: ribosomal RNA, 899 nt
Filed under: uncultured bacterium
Lineage: Bacteria
Description: bacterial SSU rRNA
Rfam family: Bacterial small subunit ribosomal RNA
Source: RNAcentral